Molecule: ribosomal RNA, 435 nt
Filed under: Shigella flexneri
Lineage: Bacteria; Pseudomonadati; Pseudomonadota; Gammaproteobacteria; Enterobacterales; Enterobacteriaceae
Description: bacterial SSU rRNA
Rfam family: Bacterial small subunit ribosomal RNA
Source: RNAcentral
GCGGACGGGUGAGUAAUGUCUGGGAAACUGCCUGAUGGAGGGGGAUAACUACUGGAAACGGUAGCUAAUACCGCAUAACGUCGCAAGACCAAAGAGGGGGACCUUCGGGCCUCUUGCCAUCGGAUGUGCCCAGAUGGGAUUAGCUAGUAGGUGGGGUAACGGCUCACCUAGGCGACGAUCCCUAGCUGGUCUGAGAGGAUGACCAGCCACACUGGAACUGAGACACGGUCCAGACUCCUACGGGAGGCAGCAGUGGGGAAUAUUGCACAAUGGGCGCAAGCCUGAUGCAGCCAUGCCGCGUGUAUGAAGAAGGCCUUCGGGUUGUAAAGUACUUUCAGCGGGGAGGAAGGGAGUAAAGUUAAUACCUUUGCUCAUUGACGUUACCCGCAGAAGAAGCACCGGCUAACUCCGUGCCAGCAGCCGCGGUAAUACGGA